Molecule: long non-coding RNA, 465 nt
Filed under: Capsicum annuum
Lineage: Eukaryota; Viridiplantae; Streptophyta; Magnoliopsida; Solanales; Solanaceae
Description: long non-coding RNA (CANN_LNC006335)
Source: RNAcentral
GUCAACCAUUUUCUUUUUCUUUUCAAUUAAUAAUGACCAAUCUAUUGUAACUUGUACUGUUUUCACGCCAUGCUUCUGAAGCUCUCGUCGUUCUGCACCAUCAAAAUCACAUAACAAAGUUAAAAAUAUCCUCAAGCUAUACGAAACUCGCGACGCGAUCAUUUCCUAAUUACAGAAGUGCAUUUAAAGAGGCAUCAUGGAUCAAAUUCAUCAUUAGCUAAUUUAAGUAAACUCUUAUCUUUAUUUAACAUUAUAUUUUAUCCACUAGUAUAUAAGUCACUUUCUGUUCUACAAACACUAGAUACAAAAUGGGAAACCAAAUAACUUACAAUAAAGUUAUCAUCACCUUCAUCUUCUUCAUUUCAUUGCUUGUCCUCCACACUGAGUCAAUUCGGCCUCCAUUUUCAUGUGACUCGUCUAACAAAGUUACAUCUUCAUUUCCCUUCUGCAAUGCUGCAUUACCAA